AGAACGCUGGCGGCGUGCUAAUACAUGCAGUCGAGCGGAGUUGUUCCUUCGGGGACAGCUUAGCGGCGGACGGGUGAGUAACACGUAGGCAACCUGCCUGUAAGACUGGGAUAACUUCCGGAAACGGAUGCUAAUACCGGAUACGUUGGUUUCUCGCAUGAGGAGCCAUGGAAAGUCGGGGUAACCUGACGCUUACGGAUGGGCCUGCGGCGCAUUAGCUGGUUGGUGGGGUAACGGCUCACCAAGGCGACGAUGCGUAGCCGACCUGAGAGGGUGAUCGGCCACACUGGGACUGAGACACGGCCCAGACUCCUACGGGAGGCAGCAGUAGGGAAUCUUCGGCAAUGGACGGAAGUCUGACCGAGCAACGCCGCGUGAGUGAUGAAGGCCUUCGGGUCGUAAAACUCUGUUGCCAGAGAA
Molecule: ribosomal RNA, 420 nt
Filed under: uncultured Paenibacillus sp.
Lineage: Bacteria; Bacillati; Bacillota; Bacilli; Caryophanales; Paenibacillaceae
Description: bacterial SSU rRNA
Rfam family: Bacterial small subunit ribosomal RNA
Source: RNAcentral